CGUCACGUAAUUGGUCUCGCUGAGAGUCACAGACCAACGAACGAAACCAUUAACUAGCGAGUCGAAGAUUGUGUGCAUUUGCAUCCUGACGCAUAUAGGUAAAUAUUAAUAAAAAAUAUUCACAUACAUUUUGAUACAACGAUAAAUGUAAAAUAAAAAGACGUCCACACAUUCUUCGCUUUCUGUUGAGUUGUAAUUUGCACUUUAUUUUACUAGAACUACUUCGACUUGGUUUCCACCAACUUGUUACAUUGAUCGUGCACGUUAACCGAUUCAAAGGAUUGACUGGAGAUGACUCAGAGGAAAGGAAAGGUUCUCUUCAAAACUUCACACAUGGAAGCCCCUGGAUUACGAGCUAAUCCAAAGAACACUGCAAAGAUGUCCCUGGGUGAAGGAAUCAACAUUCCAAAAAAGACAUUCGAUCGAUUGUCUAAGACCAAAAUGUCAGUGUUUACCCAGGAGCUGGCAGUUGUCAUUUUUGGACACAAGGCUCUGGCGACAUCAAGUCUAACGGGCAAAAAAAACCAACAAAACAGCGCUGGACUGCAUCAAAGUGAAUGCGCUCAUUGGUAUGUUUGUUGUUUUCUUGAUUUAAACAGAUGACAGCUUAACUAAAUAAAUGUUAACAUAAAAAAGUGCUUCA
Cyprinus carpio (common carp) is the source of this 643-nucleotide long non-coding RNA. Lineage: Eukaryota; Metazoa; Chordata; Actinopteri; Cypriniformes; Cyprinidae. The record is from Ensembl.